CUAGCUCUCUUCAACACAAUGAGCUCUGAUAAGUUCCUGAUCUUUAACUUUACUGUGGAAGUUUUUCCUCUAAUACAACUUACAAAUGCCUAUUGUGUUGAUUAUUUGAUAGUUAUGGCAGAUUUGAAGUGUUGAAUGAACUUAGGUCGGUGAGUCAGCAGUUGAAAAAAAGAAAGAGGGGGAAAGGCGGGAAUAUUAAACUCUGAGAAAUCCAUUGAGUUGAACAGCCAUAGUUUGAUUGAACUUGGUUUAGAAAGUCAUAGGUUUGAAUGAAAAUAACCGGGAAUCUGUGGGGGUGGGGCUAAGCAACAUCAACCGCAUGCAUGAAAUUGGAACUUCUGUUUGCUGAGUCAAAUGAGCCAGCUCUGAAGAAAUAUACCUUAAUAACGCAGAGAAACUCGAUUCUCGUGCAAAAAUAAGAAAUCAGGGCUGCACUGAAGCGCAAGAAGACUGUUGGCAAUGGAAUUACUAAGGACCUCAACAUCAACCGUCAAAUGGAUUUAGGAAACUCCUACUCUCUAUGAGGAAACUUCAUGGCAAUUGAGCCACAGACACAGGCAGUCUUUGGCUGGUAAGUUUAACAAUUUUAAUCUUCAGAAGAUAAUGUAACAUGUGCAUCCCGGUUGAACUGAAGCUCAAAAGGAUAGACUUUAAAAAAAAUCUCUGAUGUGGUGGGCUCACUGUGGCCUAACACACUAGUCAUGUUGCUUGCAAAAUAUGAAAUGUUUAAUGUACUGGUGUAAUCUCGUGUCAUGAACGAAAUGGUUAUUGCUUAUUUCAAAGGGUAGGUUAUCCACAUUUCACAAGUUUGUUGUUCUAAACGGCGAAUCAUCAGAGAUUGCUAUGCUAGUUCUAUGGUUGUGUCCGAACACAGCAGCGUUGCGAAAGGGGACCUCGUCCUUUUUUACGCAUCAUUUUUACGCAGCAUUAGAACUAGAAAGUCGCCCUGUAGAAUUUUGUUCAGACUACUCUAAAAGGAAAUGUCUGUGUAUAAUCUCGGCUGUUUAUUUACUUCAUUUUAAUCGAAGUCAAACUCAUGUAGGCCUACUUCUGAAGGACAUUGUUGGCUGUAUUUCAAAGGUGUCAGUUAGCCAUUGCAGCAGCAUGCCUCUUGAAGGGAUGUUUUCAGCGCGAUGCUGCUAUAUCACAUUCGGUAGAUGACAUUAGUCAAGGGGAAAAUCAUGUAUAAACCUAGUAAUACAAGAGAAAUAUUGUGUUUUAACUACAGGGUGCAAAAUCAUGCUUCUACCAACGGAUGAUGGGGCUGACGAUGGAGUUGACGGGAACAUUCUCACAGAAGUGGAAUUUAUGAGGAUUCUGAACCACUCAUUGAGGCCGUGGAGUGUGUUGUUUAAUGAGUAAUACAGCUAACUGCAGUGUUCCACAAGACUGUUACCACAGACCUUCAUGGGACCUUUACAUUCUUUCUGGGUUGGCUUGAGGUUCUUCGUUGGAGAGCAAAUGAAAACAGGUCCAUGAUGACUCACUUGACGAGGUAAUGGCUGGCAUGGAUCUGGGACUGCUUAUCGGACACGAAGGUGUUCUCGAAGAUGCUUUUCCGUCUGAGGUCUUCCAUUUGGCAGUGGUGGUAGAGAAAUAAAUCGUUCUGCGCAACCUACAUGACAUCCCUACUGGCUUCGCCAUGCUGCUGGGCACCAUCUACUGCCUUAAUUUGGAGUACCCCAAAAUGUUGAGGUACACCUUCGAGUUCCUGCAGAAAGCCAUCAUGGGCAUUCAAGCUGAGAAAUGCUUUGCAAGAGUGCAUGGGCUCAGAAAUAAACUUCUGCCGUACCACAUGUAAGGUUAACGUGAUGUGUGAACAUUGACAGCAGGUUAUGCUCACCAUUGAGUACUUCACUGGAAAAGUGAUGGCAGAGGCCAAUAUUGCAGUAUAACAGAAGAAAACUUUUGUUUUUGAGUACCAUAAAGACACCAUGCCACGCCAGAGUUUUCCUGGACUUUUUAAAAAAAAGUGGUUUGUGUCCAUUUGAGUGUCACCCCUUUGACAGAACUGCAUCUGUGACCUUCCCAAAAGAACUCACCGUUCUCCAUCUUGAGACACACACACACAAAGUGACUGCAUUACCAAUUAUUUUGCUUAUCUCAAGACUCAUUUAAGGAGCAAGGAAGUUAUAUUGGUGCAAAGGAACAAUACUACAAGAGCAGAGUUUUUUUUCUUUUUAAGGGGUGUUUCAUGCACCUCAUUCAGUAGUCAGCAGGAACAUGCAUGUUUCUUCUGGUGAAAUUGAGCUGCCCAAUGUUGAUUGGUUAUGAUGAUUUCCUGUCUGAAGUCUUGUUGUGGAGGCACAAAUCGUGCACAACCUACACAACGCUUCUACUGGCAUUGUAAUGCUGCUGGGCACCAUCUACUGCUUUAAGUUGCCUUGAGUUUUUGCAGAAAGCCGUAAUGGCCGUUCAAGCUGAGAAAUGCUCUGCAAGAGUGCAUGCACAUUUAGAUUAAAGCGAACAUGUUGUAUAAACAUUGAAGUUAAAUUUCACCAGAAGAAACCUGAAGUGUGCUCACUUUUGCACCACCCAAAAUUUCACAACUUUUCUUUUGUUAUCUCAACAAAUGUUGUAUUUAAUGACUUGAAGCAUGUUUUGGAAGUAAUGUUGUUGAAAAUAUUGGUAAAAAAAUAAUUCAUCAAAAGGGUGUUAUCAUGCACCAUAUAUUGGGCAAGAAUCUUGUCACUACAUGUGAAAUUCAUUAAUGCAUACAAAGGAGGCAGAUGCCAAUGUUGUGGUUCUUACAAAAAGCCAUAAUGGGACUUGCAGCUGAGAAGGGCUCAAACAAACAGUUGAGGGAAGUCUUCAUGUUGUAUGGACAUGACUGACCAGUGUUUUUUUUUCACUAUGGCAAAUGUUUUUUGGUUUCACGCCGCCGCCAGAGUUUUCCUGGACUUUUGUUUUAACAUUGUUUGUGUCCAUUUCAGUGUGAAAACUUUAACUGACCCUCAACAGUGACUGCUUAAAACUCCCCCCCCAAAAAAGUGCUCGCCAUCCUCCAUGUUGACACAUACACAGACACACACACACACAAAUGCACGUGUGCACUCUCAUUAUGAACUUUGAAGCAAUGUAUGGUAGCAAUAGAGACAAUUGUCAACUGUGUGAAUGUUUCCAGUAAAAAAAACUAAACAUUUCUGAAUAGAUGCAAUGCUUCAGUGUUUUCUUUGAUAUUGUGUUUGUGAUUAACAUUAUGGUGAAUUAACUCUUGCUUUAGGUGUGGUCUAGUUGUAAUGUCUAUUGAUUCCAUCACUUUGUUAAAUUGCCAAUGGUUAAAAAGCUAAAACAACUAUGACUUCUUAAAACAUGAAAUGGAGACGACAACAAUAAUGUAUUUCAAUCAACUUUGUUGAAUUUAUUUUGGGAGUUGAGACAAAUGUACAGCAUAAAUUGAUUCUACUUGCAAACAUAAGGCAGCAGGGGAACUUGGUUUUGAAAGUCAACAGACUUUUAAUGUUAAGUUGGCUUGGCAUCGGAUAAAAAGUUAAGGGAGCAGGAGAAUUUACUUUUGAAAGUUUAACAGACUUGUAAUGUUAAGUCGGCUUGGCAAGGCAUAAAAAGUUAAGGCAGCAGGAGAGCUUACUUUUGAAAGUUUAACAGACUUGUAUUGUUAAGUCGGCUUGGAAAGGGAU
Molecule: long non-coding RNA, 3638 nt
Organism: Engraulis encrasicolus (European anchovy)
Lineage: Eukaryota; Metazoa; Chordata; Actinopteri; Clupeiformes; Engraulidae
Exons: 3
Source: RefSeq, a predicted model, not a curated record